CCCAGACUCCUACGGGAGGCAGCAGUGGGGGAUAUUGCACAAUGGGGGGAACCCUGAUGCAGCGACGCCGCGUGGGUGAAGAAGCGCCUCGGCGCGUAAAGCCCUGUCAGCAGGGAAGAAAAUGACGGUACCUGAAGAAGAAGCCCCGGCUAACUACGUGCCAGCAGCCGCGGUAAUACGUAGGGGGCAAGCGUUAUCCGGAUUUACUGGGUGUAAAGGGGGCGCAGACGGCGAUGCAAGCCAGGAGUGAAAGCCCGUGGCCCAACCCCGGGACUGCUCUUGGAACUGCGUGGCUGGAGUGCAGGAGGGGCAGGCGGAAUUCCUGGUGUAGCGGUGAAAUGCGUAGAUAUCAGGAGGAACACCGGUGGCGAAGGCGGCCUGCUGGACUGCAACUGACGUUGAGGCCCGAAAGCGUGGGGAGCAAACAGGAUUAGAUACCCUAGUAG
Molecule: ribosomal RNA, 446 nt
Filed under: uncultured bacterium
Lineage: Bacteria
Description: bacterial SSU rRNA
Rfam family: Bacterial small subunit ribosomal RNA
Source: RNAcentral